Molecule: ribosomal RNA, 732 nt
Filed under: Yuchengia kilemariensis
Lineage: Eukaryota; Fungi; Basidiomycota; Agaricomycetes; Polyporales; Polyporaceae
Description: eukaryotic LSU rRNA
Rfam family: 5.8S ribosomal RNA (bases 214-367)
Source: RNAcentral
ACCUGCGGAAGGAUCAUUAUCGAGUUUUGAAACGGGUUGUAGNUNNCNUUNUUUGGCACCGUGCACGCCCUGCUCAUNCNCUNUACACCUGUGCACUUACUGUAGGUUUCAGACGCGAUGCGAGUUUAGGCUCGCGGAGCUUAUGGGGCUUACGUUUCAACCACAAACGCUUCAGUAUCAGAAUGUGUAUCGCGAUGUAACGCAUCUAAAUACAACUUUCAGCAACGGAUCUCUUGGCUCUCGCAUCGAUGAAGAACGCAGCGAAAUGCGAUAAGUAAUGUGAAUUGCAGAAUUCAGUGAAUCAUCGAAUCUUUGAACGCACCUUGCGCUCCUUGGUAUUCCGAGGAGCAUGCCUGUUUGAGUGUCAUGAAAUUCUCAACCUAUAAGCCUUUGCGGGUUUUGUAGGAUUGGACUUGGAGGUUUUGUCGGCUCACGUCGGCUCCUCUCAAAUGCAUUAGCUUGAUUCCUUGCGGAUCGGCUCUCGGUGUGAUAGUUUUUUGCGCCGCGACCGUGAAGCGUUUGGCGAGCUUCUAACCGUCUCUUUCGAGACAAUCGACUGAACUCUGACCUCAAAUCAGGUAGGACUACCCGCUGAACUUAAGCAUAUCAAUAAGCGGAGGAAAAGAAANUAACAAGGAUUCCCCUAGUAACUGCGAGUGAANCGGGAAAAGCUCAAAUUUAAAAUCUGGCGGUCUUUGGCCGUCCGAGUNNUANUCUGGAGAANUGCUUUCC